RNAcentral lists this ribosomal RNA (378 nucleotides) under uncultured Anaerolineaceae bacterium. RNAcentral's name for it is "bacterial SSU rRNA". It matches the Rfam family "Bacterial small subunit ribosomal RNA", at positions 988 to 1382 of the family's 1533-position model. The record is from RNAcentral. Lineage: Bacteria; Bacillati; Chloroflexota; Anaerolineae; Anaerolineales; Anaerolineaceae.
GCAAGUGGUAGGAAUACUGAAAGGACGACCCUUCGGGGAGGCUUGCACAGGUGCUGCAUGGCUGUCGUCAGCUCGUGUCGUGAGAUGUUCGGUUAAGUCCGCUAACGAGCGCAACCCUCACUGUGUGUUAUAUGUGUCACACGGGACUGCCGGUUUUAAGCCGGAGGAAGGUGGGAUGACGUCAAGUCAGCAUGGCCUUUAUAUCUUGGGCUACACACACGCUACAAUGGUCGGUACAAUAGGUUGCCAAGCCGCGAGGCGGAGCCAAUCACAAAGCCGGCCUCAGUUCAGAUUGUAGGCUGCAACUCGCCUGCAUGAAGAUGGAGUUGCUAGUAACCGCAGGUCAGCAAUACUGCGGUGAAUACGUUCCCGGGUCUU